GGAUCAGAGAUUCUGGUCUCUAAUUCAGAACCUGGAUCAGGGUCUUUAAUUCCAGAACCUGGAUCAGAGAUUCUGGUCUGUAAUCCAGAACCUGGAUCAGAGACCACCACACAGGAGAGCUUCCAGCUGAAGAUCCAAACAGGAAAAGAUUUUGUUCCAUAACUUCAGGAGGAACCGGUCCAGCAGUUGAACCCUUUCCAGAAUAUAUUCAUAGAUGAGGAGAACUUCAGACCAGAACCGUCUGGACCUCCUGCUGUCAUUUCUCCUGACAUGAAGCUCCUGAAGCUCUGACCUCUGUCUCCUCAGAGUUCUUCAUCUUACCCGCUCCACCAAAGUCCUCAGACCUCUCAGGCCUGACAGUGAAACUCAAGCCGUCAGACGACUGGGACGAGUCCAGAUGGAGGAACCACCUGAGCUGUAAGGACGAAUGCGUCUCCGGCUGUGGGAGGGAAGAGCCGGGCGUUCUGUCCGACUCGGAGAAUGAGGAACCGAUCAGCCGCAGGAUCAGGAACAUCUCGGCCUUCAUCAGGAAAACCAAGACUUCUUCAGCCCUGAGCAGGUGAU
Long non-coding RNA from Oryzias melastigma (Indian medaka), 564 nucleotides. RefSeq lists it as uncharacterized. The record is from RefSeq and is a predicted model, not a curated record. The transcript is spliced from 3 exons. NCBI's taxonomy places the organism in Eukaryota, Metazoa, Chordata, Actinopteri, Beloniformes, Adrianichthyidae.